Long non-coding RNA from Eurytemora carolleeae, 738 nucleotides. RefSeq lists it as uncharacterized. The record is from RefSeq and is a predicted model, not a curated record. Lineage: Eukaryota; Metazoa; Arthropoda; Copepoda; Calanoida; Temoridae. The transcript is spliced from 4 exons.
ACACUUAGGUUCAUGGUCAGCUGUGAGGAUAGAAGAGUAAUUGUAUAUUUUUAUAUAAUCCUGAGAAUUUUACUGUUUAUGGUUCAGCAAUUUUAGAAGUUCAACAGCAAACUGGGCAGAUUGUCACGUGAUAAGGUGGUCACUGUUAUGAUAAUCAGCUGAUUUCUGGCAAGUAAACCAACCGGCUGCUCAAGUCACUGCUCACUGCAGACUGCUCAGUUACAGUCUGACUCUAGGGGCAGACAGAUAUUAACUUUUCACUCCUACACACUUUCUAUGACCUCUGUGAACUACACAAAGACAGCUGGACUUUCCCGCAUCAAAAUAUACAGUUACAGCUGUACCUAUUGCUUUAUACGAAAAUGCCGUACUACUUGAAGACCGGACUAAAGGCGACUUCUGCUAUAGUUGGAAGCGCAUUUGCCUAUACACACACUCAUAAAGGAGAUGAUGCUUUGGAGAAAAACAAAGACGACGCAGGAAGAAAAGACGACCAGCAAGGUUGGAAGGGAAACAAUGGCGGCCAAGAUAUGGAUAAAAUUCAUGAAGAAACGAUUCAUCAAAUGAUGAUAUGGAAAUAGAAGACAUUUUCAGCUUUUAUCAACAACUUCCUUUUCCAGCAAAAUAAAAAUUUGUUAAUUAAAUAUAUUACACCCGAUUACAUUGCAUGUUAACGUUUUUUUCAUUCUUAAUUGGAUUGAAAAAAUAAAAAAAAUUGUCUAUCUAGAAUAACAAAAA